GUGAGGAAUUUUCCGCAAUGGGCGAAAGCCUGACGGAGCAAUGCCGCGUGAAGGAUGAAGGCCUAUGGGUUGUAAACUUCUUUUUUUAGAGAAGAAUAUUGACGGUAUCUGAGGAAUAAGCAUCUGCUAACUCUGUGCCAGCAGCCGCGGUAAGACAGAGGAUGCAAGCGUUAUCCGGAAUGAUUGGGCGUAAAGCGUCUGUAGGUGGCUUCAAAAGUCUCCUGUCAAAGAUCAGGGCUUAACCCUGGGCCGGCAGGAGAAACUCUGAGGCUAGAGUUUGGUAGGGGCAGAGGGAAUUCCCGGUGGAGCGGUGAAAUGCGUAGAGAUCGGGAGGAACACCAAAGGCGAAAGCACUCUGCUGGGCCACAACUGACACUGAGAGACGAAAGCGAGGGGAGCAAAAGGGAUUAGAUACCCUUGUAGUCC
Molecule: ribosomal RNA, 426 nt
Filed under: uncultured bacterium
Lineage: Bacteria
Description: partial 16S ribosomal RNA
Rfam family: Bacterial small subunit ribosomal RNA
Source: RNAcentral